CCUAGGGGGGGCAGCAGUGGGGAAUAUUGGACAAUGGGCGAAAGCCUGAUCCAGCCAUGCCGCGUGUGUGAAGAAGGCCUUCGGGUUGUAAAGCACUUUCAGUGGGGAAGAAAGCCUUGGGGCUAAUACCCUCGAGGAAGGACAUCACCCACAGAAGAAGCACCGGCUAACUCCGUGCCAGCAGCCGCGGUAAUACGGAGGGUGUGAGCGUUAAUCGGAAUUACUGGGCGUAAAGCGCGCGUAGGCGGUCUGAUAAGCCGGUUGUGAAAGCCCCGGGCUCAACCUGGGAACGGCAUCCGGAACUGUCAGGCUAGAGUGCAGGAGAGGAAGGUAGAAUUCCCGGUGUAGCGGUGAAAUGCGUAGAGAUCGGGAGGAAUACCAGUGGCGAAGGCGGCCUUCUGGACUGACACUGACGCUGAGGUGCGAAAGCGUGGGUAGCAAACAGGAUUAGAUACCCUAGUAGUC
Molecule: ribosomal RNA, 465 nt
Filed under: Vreelandella stevensii
Lineage: Bacteria; Pseudomonadati; Pseudomonadota; Gammaproteobacteria; Oceanospirillales; Halomonadaceae
Description: partial 16S ribosomal RNA
Rfam family: Bacterial small subunit ribosomal RNA
Source: RNAcentral